AUACGUAGGGUGCGAGCGUUGUCCGGAAUUACUGGGCGUAAAGAGCUCGUAGGUGGUUUGUCGCGUCGUCUGUGAAAUUCCGGGGCUUAACUCCGGGCGUGCAGGCGAUACGGGCAUAACUUGAGUACUGUAGGGGAGACUGGAAUUCCUGGUGUAGCGGUGAAAUGCGCAGAUAUCAGGAGGAACACCGGUGGCGAAGGCGGGUCUCUGGGCAGUAACUGACGCUGAGGAGCGAAAGCAUGGGUAGCGAACAGGAUUAGAUACCCUGGUAGUCCAUGCCGUAAACGGUGGGCGCUAGGUGUAGGGGUCUUCCACGACUUCUGUGCCGUAGCUAACGCAUUAAGCGCCCCGCCUGGGGAGUACGGCCGCAAGGCUAAAACUCAAAGGAAUUGACGGG
Molecule: ribosomal RNA, 397 nt
Filed under: uncultured bacterium
Lineage: Bacteria
Description: partial 16S ribosomal RNA
Rfam family: Bacterial small subunit ribosomal RNA
Source: RNAcentral